This 497-nucleotide ribosomal RNA is filed under the name uncultured bacterium. RNAcentral's name for it is "partial 16S ribosomal RNA". It matches the Rfam family "Bacterial small subunit ribosomal RNA", at positions 28 to 507 of the family's 1533-position model. The record is from RNAcentral.
GAUGAACGCUGGCGGCGUGCCUAAUACAUGCAAGUCGAGCGAACGGACGAGAAGCUUGCUUCUCUGAUGUUAGCGGCGGACGGGUGAGUAACACGUGGAUAACCUACCUAUAAGACUGGGAUAACUUCGGGAAACCGUAGCUAAUACCGGAUAAUAUUUUGAACCGCAUGGUUCAAAAGUGAAAGACGGUCUUGCUGUCACUUAUAGAUGGAUCCGCGCUGCAUUAGCUAGUUGGUAAGGUAACGGCUUACCAAGGCAACGAUGCAUAGCCGACCUGAGAGGGUGAUCGGCCACACUGGAACUGAGACACGGUCCAGACUCCUACGGGAGGCAGCAGUAGGGAAUCUUCCGCAAUGGGCGAAAGCCUGACGGAGCAACGCCGCGUGAGUGAUGAAGGUCCUCGGAUCGUAAAACUCUGUUAUUAGGGAAGAACAUAUGUGUAAGUAACUGUGCACAUCUUGACGGUACCUAAUCAGAAAGCCACGGCUAACUACGUG